RNAcentral lists this long non-coding RNA (5264 nucleotides) under Vigna radiata. Its description in RNAcentral is "long non-coding RNA (VRAD_LNC017800)". The record is from RNAcentral. Lineage: Eukaryota; Viridiplantae; Streptophyta; Magnoliopsida; Fabales; Fabaceae.
AAAAUGUGUGCAAAUGUUGUAAAAAGGAUGUAGAAAGUGUACAAAGGGUGUACGCCCAUUCUACAUCUUUCUACAAAAUAUGUAGAAAGACUAUAGAAGGGUGUACAAAUGGUAUAAAAAGUGUAUACAAAGGCUGUAGAAAUGUUGUACAAAGUGCGUACAAAGGCCCUAAAAAGGAUGUCGAAAAUGUGUUGAAAGGGUGUAGAAAGAUUGUAGAAAUGGUGUCAAAAAUGUGUUGAAAGUGUGUAGAAAGAUUGUAGAAAUGGUGUAGAAAGGGUGUAGAAAGGUUGCAUAAGUGGUGUACAAAUAGUGUAUAAAGGAUAGAGAAAGGGUUUAUAAAGGGUUCAUAAAGGGUAUACAAAGAUGUAAAAAGAUGUAGAAAAUGUGUACAAAAGGUGUAUAAAGAAUGUACAAAUUUCUACAAAGGGUGUAGAAAGGUGUACAGGGGGUGUACAAAGGGUGUACAAAGGUUAUAUAAAGGGUGUACAAAGAUGAUGAAAAAUGUAGAAAAGGUGUACAAAGGGUGUACACUUAUUCUGCAUCAAUCAACAAAAUAUGUAUAAAGAUUGUAGAAGGGUGUACAAAAGGUAUAAAAAGUAUAUAAAAAGGGUUUAGAAAGGGUGUAGAAAGGGUGUAAAAAAGGGUGUGCAAAGGAUCUAUAAAGGGUGUACAAAGGGUAUACACCCAUUCUACAUAUUUCUAAAAAAUAUGUAGUGAGGUUGUAAAAGAAUGUACAAAGCGAAUACAAAGGGUGUCAAAAGGUUGUAAAAACAGUGUCAAAAGAGUGUAAAAAUUGUUUAUAUUGGGUGUACAAAGGGUGUAGUAAGGGUGAAAGUUGGUUUUAGAAAUGAUGUAGAUAGAUGUAGAAAUGGUGUAGAAAGGGCGUAGAAAAGGUGUACUAAGGCUAUAUAAAGUGUGUACAAAGGGUGUAUAAAGGUUGUAUAAAGGGUGUGCAACCAUUCUACAUCUUUCUACAAAAUAUGUAGAAAUGUUGUAAAAGGGUAUAGAAAUGGUGUAGAAAGAACACAGAAAAGGUAUAGAAAGGGUGUACAAAGUGUGUACAAAAGUUUUAGAAGGGUGUACAAGGGGUGUACAAAAGUUGUACUUAUGGUGUACAAAAAUGUUAACAAAUAUAGAAAAGGUUUACAAAUUGUGUUGAAAGGGUGUACAAAGGGUGUGCAAUAGGUGUAUAAAGGAUGUUCAAUGGGUGUACACCCGUUCUACAUCUUUCUGCAAUAUACAUAGAAAGGUUGGGGAAGGGUGUACACAGGGUAUACAUAGGAUAUACAAAGGGUUUAGAAAAGGGUGUACAAAAGGUGUAUAAAAUGUCUACAAAAGGUGUACAAAGAGUGUAAAAAUGGUUAUUGAAUGUUUCAAGAAGGCUGUUUCGGUGAUAGAGAUACGAAGGAGGAUGAAAUAACCUUGGUUGGGGAGAGAAAAAGAUGGCUGUAACAACAAAGGAAAGUGAAAAAAAGUGCAGCCAGGCCAGCACAGAGUUAACUCCGUUUAUGCUAAUUUAACGGAGGGGACUUGAUUUAUACAAUUUUUACAACUUUAGAACUCAAUAGAUUCAUUUUUAAAACUGGGUACUAAACACAAAUUCACCUCUUAACAUGGGGACAAAGUCAACAUUUAAGCCUAAAAAAUAUAGAAAAGGUUUACAAAGAGUGUAAAAAGGGGGUACAAUAGGUGUAUAAAGAGUGUUCAACGGGUGUACACCCAUUCUACAUCUUUCUGCAAAAUACCUAGUAAGAUUGUGGAAGGGUGUACAAAGGGUAUACAAAGGAUAUAUAAAGGGUUUAGAAAAGGUGUAGAAAGGGUUUGGAAAUGGUGUACAAAGAUGUAGAAAGAUGUAGAAAGGAUGUACAAAGGGUGUAUAAAGGGUGUACAAAGGGUAUACACCCAUUCUACAUCUUUCUACAAAAUAUGUAGAAGAGUUGUAGAAGAGUGUACAAAUAAUAUACAAUGUUUAAAAAAGGGUAUAGAAAUGGUGUAGAAAGGGUGGAGGAAGGGUGUGCGAAGUGUGUACAAAUGGUGUAGAAAGGUUGUAGAAAAGGUGUAUAUAGGUUAUAAAAAUAGUGUAGAAAGUGUGUACAAAGGCUGUAUCAAGGGUGUACAAAGGGUGUACACCUAUUCUACAUCUUGCUACAAAAUAUGUAGAAGNNNNNNNNNNNNNNNNNNNNNNNNNNNNNNNNNNNNNNNNNNNNNNNNNNNNNNNNNNNNNNNNNNNNNNNNNNNNNNNNNNNNNNNNNNNNNNNNNNNNNNNNNNNNNNNNNNNNNNNNNNNNNNNNNNNNNNAAAGGUUAUAAAAAUAGUGUAGAAAGUGUGUAUAAAGGUUGUAUCAAGGGUGUACAAAGGGUGUACACCUAUUCUACAUCUUGCUACAAAAUAUGUAGAAGGGUUGUAGAAUGGGGUGUACAAAGGGUAUACAAAUGAUAUACAAUGGGUGUAGAAAAUGUGUACAAUGAGUUUAGAAACGAAGUACAAGGAUGUUGAAAGAUGUAGAAAAUGUGUGCAAAUGUUAUAAAAAGGAUGUAGAAAGUAUACAAAGGGUGUAUGCCCAUUCUACAUCUUUCUACAAAAUAUGUAGAAAGACUGUAGAAGGGUGUACAAAUGGUAUAAAAGGGGUAUACAAAGGCUGUAGAAAUGUUGUACAAAGUGUGUACAAAGGGCCUAAAAAGGAUGUCGAAAAUGUGUUGAAAAGGUGUAGAAAGAUUGUAGAAAUGGUGUAGAAAGGGUGCAUAAAUGGUGUAAAAAUAGUGUAUAAAGGAUAUAGAAAAGUUUUAUAAAGGGUUUAGAAAGGGUAUACAAAGAUGUAAAAAGAUGUAGAAAAUGUGUACAAAAGGUGUAUAAAGGAUGUACAAAUUUCUACAAAGGGUGUAGAAGGGUGUACAGGUGGUGUACAAAGGUUGUACAAAGGGUGUACAAAGAUGUUGAAAAAUGUAGAAAAGGUGUACAAAGGGUGUACACUUAUUCUGCAUCAAUCAACAAAAUAUGUAUAAAGGUUGUAGAAGGGUGUACAAAAAGUAUAAAAAGGAUAUACAAAAGGUUUAUAAAGGGUGUAGAAAGGGUUUAAAAAAGGGUGUAAAAAGGGUGUGCAAAGGGUCUAUAAAGGGUGUACAUAGGGUAUACACCCAUUCUACAUAUUUCUAAAAAAUAUGUAGUGAGGUUGUAGAAGAGUGUACAAAACGAAUACAAAGGGUGUCAAAAGGUUGUAAAAAGAGUGUAAAAAAUGUUUAUAUUGGGUGUACAAAGGGUGUAGUAAGGGUGAAAGUUGGUUUUAAAAUGAUGUAGAUAGAUGUAGAAAUGGUGUAGAAAGGGUGUAGAAAAGGUGUACUAAAGCUAUAUAAAGUGUGUACAAAGGGUAGAAAGAUGUAGAAAAAGCGUACAAAGGGUGUAUAAAGGUUGUAUUAAGGGUGUACAACCAUUCUACAUCUUUCUACAAAAUAUGUAGAAAUGUUGUAAAAGGGUAUACAAAUGGUGUAGAAAGGAUGCAGAAAAGGUAUAGAAAGGGUGUACAAAGUGUGUACAAAAGGUUUAGAAGGGUGUACAAGGGGUGUACAAAAGUUGUACUUAUGGUGUACAAAAAUGUUAACAAAUAUAGAAAAAUUUUACAAAUUGUGUUGAAAGAGUGUACAAAGGGUGUGCAAUAGGUGUAUAAAGGAUGUUCAAUGGGUGUACACCCGUUCUACAUCUUUCUCCAAAAUACAUAGAAAGGUUGUGGAAGGGUGUACACAGGGUAUACAAAGGAUAUACAAAGGGUUUAGAAAAGGGUGUACAAAAGGUGUAUAAAAGGUCUACAAAAGGUGUACAAAGAGUNUAAAAAUGGNGUAUAAAAGGUGUACAAAGGGUGUAUACCCAUUCUACAUCUUUUUACAAAAUAUUUAGAUAGGCCGACUGAGGGGUGUACAAAGAUGUAAAAAAAUGUAGAAAGGUUGUACAAAUGGUGUACAAAGGAUGUACAAAAGGUUUAAAAAGAUNUANAAAGAUGUAGAAACNGUGUAUAAAAGGUAUACAAAGAAUGUAAAAAAUGUGUUCAAAUGAUGUACAAAGGGUUUAUAAAGGGUGUAUAAAGGGUUUACAAAGGGUAUACAUCCAUUCUACAUCUUUUUACAAAGUAUGCAUAAAGGCUGUAAUAGGGAGUACAAAUGGUGUAUAAAGGGUAAAAAAAAGUGUAGGAAGAGUGUACAAAGGGGGUUAAAAUUGUGUAAAAAUAGUGUAUAAAAGGUGUAUAAAGGGUGUACAAAUGGUGUAUAAAGGGUAUACAAGGGUGUACAAAGGGUGUACAACUAUUCUACAUCUUUUUACAAAAUAUGUAGAAGGGUUGUAGAUGGGUGUACAAAGGGUAUACAAAGAUAUAGAAAAAUGUAGAAAGGUGUAGAAAGGAUUUAGAAAGGGAGUACAAAGAUGUAGAAAGUUGUACAAAGUGUNUACAAAGUGUGUACAAAGAGUGUAAAAAAGAUGUACAAAUGGUGUUUAAAGGGUGUACAGAGGGUGUACAAAGGGUGUACAAAGGGUUUACAAAGGGUGAAUAAAGUGUUUAUAAAGGAUGUACAAAUGAUGUACAAAAGGUAUACAAAGGUUGUAUAAAAGGUGUAUAAAGGGUGUACGCUCACUCUACAUCUUUUUACAAGAUAUGUAUAAAUGCUGCAGAAGGGUGUACAAAUAGUAUGUAUAUAAAGUGUAUAAAAAGGGUGUAGAAAUAAUGUACAAAAGAUGUACAAAGAUUGUACAUAAGGUGUACAAAGAUUGUAUAAAAGGUGUACAACCAUUCUAAAUCUUUUUACAGAAUAUGUANAAAGACUACAAAAGAGUGUGCAAAAAGUAGAAAAGGUGUAGAAACGGUGUACAAAGUGUGUAAAAAGGGUGUACAAAAGGUGUAUAAAGGAUGUACAAAGGGUGUACACCCAUUCUCUAUCUUUUUACAAAAUAUGUAAAAAGUCAACAGAAGGAUGUACAGAGUGUAAAAAGAUGUACAAAGGGUGUACAAUGGGUGUACAGAGGGUGUACAAGGUAUUAGAAAGAUGUAGAAAGUGUGUACAUAGGGUCUAAAAAGGAUGUACAAAGGGUGUACAAAGGGUGUAAAAAUAUGUAGAUAGGUGUACAAAAGAUAUACAAAGGUUUUACAAAGGGUGUAUAAAGAAUGUACCAAAAGGUGUACAAAGGGUUUAUAAAUGGUGUACAAAGGGUGUAUAAAGGAUGUACAAAUGGCUUAUAAANGAUGUAUAAAGGGUGUACAAAUGAUGUACAAAGGGUAUACAGAUG